RNAcentral lists this ribosomal RNA (1382 nucleotides) under Aliger gigas (queen conch). RNAcentral describes it as "Strombus gigas 16S ribosomal RNA". It matches the Rfam family "Bacterial large subunit ribosomal RNA". The record is from RNAcentral. Lineage: Eukaryota; Metazoa; Mollusca; Gastropoda; Littorinimorpha; Strombidae.
UAUAUACGGUCUGUGAAGUAAAAGAAGUGAAAUAUGUGGAUUUUAAAUAGUCGAAGCAUCUUCAAUUUAAGUAAAGGCGAUUAAACCUUAAUUUUAUAUUCAAAAGACAAGUACUGUGAAGGAAAGAUUAUUAAUUGCUUAUAAGUAGAAAUAUAUAUUCGUACCUUUUGUAUCAUGGCUUAGCUAGAUUUAUUAUUUAAAUAAAUUGCCUAGAAAACUAAUGAGCGACUUUAUUUUUUCUUUCUAGAGAAAAGAAGUAGGUGUGGCAAAACCUUUUUUAAAACUUAAAGUAGAAAUGAAAUUUUAUUCGCAUUAGUUGAUAGCUAGUUUCCUUUUAAAGGCAUAGAAGUGCUCUUGGCUUGAGUGAUAAUCUAAAUAAAUUUAACUAAACUGUUAUUAAGCCAAGUUAAUUCUUUGAGGAUUAGCUCGAAGAAUUAAUUUAAACAAUUUUCAUUAAACCUUAAACUAGAUUUAGGCUUGAAAGUAGCCUCUAUUUCUGAGUUUGUUAUAAACCAUUGAAAUCAAUAUAAGGAAUAAUAAAUUUGUGAAAAACUAAAGAGGAAAAUCUUGAUAACUAUAAUAUAAAGAUAUUUAAAUGCUAAGAUGAGUAUUAAGAAAUAAAGUUAGGAGUUAAAAUAUAUAAAAGUUGAUAGAAUAAUAAAUAUAUAAAAAUUAAAUCUGUAAAAGGAACUCGGCAAAUUAAUUUGCUCCGCCUGUUUAUCAAAAACAUGGCUCUAUGAAAUUCAUAGAUAUAGAGUCGGACCUGCCCAGUGAAGACUUUCAACGGCCGCGGUACUCUGACCGUGCAAAGGUAGCAUAAUCAUUUGCCCUAUAAUUGAGGGCUAGUAUGAAUGGUUUGACGUGAGCAAAGCUGUCUCUUAUAGAAUAAAUAGAAUUUAACUUAUAGGUGAAGAUGCCUAUAUAACAUUGAUAGACAAGAAGACCCUAUCGAGCUUGAAAAAAAUAGUUAGAAUAAAGCUGACUCAAUUUCGGUACACUUAGGCUAAUUAAGAUUUUGGUUGGGGCGACUGAGGAACAAGUGAAGCUUCCUUUAAUAUAAAUACGAGCUAUCUAGCAAUGAUCCAAUAAAACUAUUGAUCAAAGAAAUUAGUUACCGUAGGGAUAACAGCAUAAUCUUUUUUGAGAGCUCAUAUCGAAAAAAAGGUUUGUGACCUCGAUGUUGGACUAGAGUUUCCCAAAGAUGCAGAAGUCUUUAAGGGUUGGUCUGUUCGACCAUUAAAACUCUACAUGAUCUGAGUUCAGACCGGCGUGAGCCAGGUCAGUUUCUAUCUUCAAUUGUUAAGACCUAAGUUUAGUACGAAAGGACCAACUUAAGGAAAUAAUUUCAUUGAUUGGUAAAAUAUAAUGAUAAUAUAAAUAUA